GCCGGGGGUGGUGGCGCAUGCCUGUAGUACCAGCUACUUGGGAGGCUGAGGUGGGAGGAUCACUUGAGCCCAGGAGGUCAAGGCUGCAGUGAGCCAAGAUUGUGCCACUGCACUCCAGCCUGGGCAACAGAGUGAGACCAUGUCUCAA
This 148-nucleotide non-coding RNA is filed under the name Homo sapiens (human). The record is from Rfam by way of RNAcentral. Lineage: Eukaryota; Metazoa; Chordata; Mammalia; Primates; Hominidae.